GAUGAACGCUGGCGGCGUGCCUAAUACAUGCAAGUCGAACGCAUUGUGGUUGAAAUGAUAUGAAGAACUUGUUCAGAUUUGAUUUUCAACAUUGCAAUGAGUGGCGAACGGGUGAGUAACACGUGGGAAACCUACCUCUUAGCAGGGGAUAACAUUGGAAACAAAUGCUAAUACCGUAUAAUAAUUAAAACCGCAUGGUUUUAGUUUAAAAGAUGGUCUUGCUAUCACUAAGAGAUGGUCCCGCGGUGUAUUAGUUAGUUGGUGAGGUAAUGGCUCACCAAGACAAUGAUACAUAGCCGAGUUGAGAGACUGACCGGCCACAAUGGGACUGAGACACGGCCCAUACUCCUACGGGAGGCAGCAGUAGGGAAUCUUCCACAAUGGACGAAAGUCUGAUGGAGCAACGCCGCGUGUGUGAUGAAGGUUUCGGCUCGUAAAACACUGUUGUAAGAGAAGAAUGAC
This 462-nucleotide ribosomal RNA is filed under the name uncultured bacterium. RNAcentral's name for it is "bacterial SSU rRNA". It matches the Rfam family "Bacterial small subunit ribosomal RNA", at positions 28 to 453 of the family's 1533-position model. The record is from RNAcentral.